This 223-nucleotide ribosomal RNA is filed under the name uncultured fungus. Its description in RNAcentral is "partial 18S ribosomal RNA". It matches the Rfam family "Eukaryotic small subunit ribosomal RNA", at positions 40 to 274 of the family's 1831-position model. The record is from RNAcentral. Lineage: Eukaryota; Fungi.
AAGAUUAAGCCAUGCAUGUCUAAGUAUAAGCAAUUUAUACAGUGAAACUGCGAAUGGCUCAUUAAAUCAGUUAUCGUUUAUUUGAUAGUUCCUUUACUACAUGGUAUAACUGUGGUAAUUCUAGAGCUAAUACAUGCAUUCAAGCCCCGACUUCUGGAAGGGGUGUAUUUAUUAGAUAAAAAUCAACUUUGUUGGUGAAUCAUAAUAACUUCUCGGACCGCAU